ACUUGUACCAACUGGAUGAGCAGCGAACGGGUGAGUAACGCGUGGGGAAUCUGCCUUUGAGCGGGGGACAACAUUUGGAAACGAAUGCUAAUACCGCAUAAAAACUUUAAACACAAGUUUUAAGUUUGAAAGAUGCAAUUGCAUCACUCAAAGAUGAUCCCGCGUUGUAUUAGCUAGUUGGUGAGGUAAAGGCUCACCAAGGCGAUGAUACAUAGCCGACCUGAGAGGGUGAUCGGCCACAUUGGGACUGAGACACGGCCCAAACUCCUACGGGAGGCAGCAGUAGGGAAUCUUCGGCAAUGGACGAAAGUCUGACCGAGCAACGCCGCGUGAGUGAAGAAGGUUUUCGGAUCGUAAAACUCUGUUGGUAGAGAAGAACGUUGGUGAGAGUGGAAAGCUCAUCAAGUGNCGGUAACUACC
RNAcentral lists this ribosomal RNA (420 nucleotides) under Lactococcus sp. RNAcentral describes it as "bacterial SSU rRNA". It matches the Rfam family "Bacterial small subunit ribosomal RNA", at positions 72 to 483 of the family's 1533-position model. Lineage: Bacteria; Bacillati; Bacillota; Bacilli; Lactobacillales; Streptococcaceae. The record is from RNAcentral.